This 504-nucleotide ribosomal RNA is filed under the name uncultured bacterium. RNAcentral's name for it is "partial 16S ribosomal RNA". It matches the Rfam family "Bacterial small subunit ribosomal RNA", at positions 30 to 523 of the family's 1533-position model. The record is from RNAcentral.
AUUGAACGCUGGCGGCAGGCCUAACACAUGCAAGUCGAACGGUAGCACAGAGAGCUUGCUCUCGGGUGACGAGUGGCGGACGGGUGAGUAAUGUCUGGGAAACUGCCCGAUGGAGGGGGAUAACUACUGGAAACGGUAGCUAAUACCGCAUAACGUCGCAAGACCAAAGUGGGGGACCUUCGGGCCUCACACCAUCGGAUGUGCCCGGAUGGGAUCAGCUAGUAGGUGGGGUAAUGGCUCACCUAGGCGACGAUCCCUAGCUGGUCUGAGAGGAUGACCAGCCACACUGGAACUGAGACACGGUCCAGACUCCUACGGGAGGCAGCAGUGGGGAAUAUUGCACAAUGGGCGCAAGCCUGAUGCAGCCAUGCCGCGUGUAUGAAGAAGGCCUUCGGGUUGUAAAGUACUUUCAGCGGGGAGGAAGGCGGUGGAGUUAAUAACUUCACCGAUUGACGUUACCCGCAGAAGAAGCACCGGCUAACUCCGUGCCAGCCGCCGCAGUAA